This is a small nucleolar RNA of Oryctolagus cuniculus (rabbit), 83 nucleotides long. NCBI's taxonomy places the organism in Eukaryota, Metazoa, Chordata, Mammalia, Lagomorpha, Leporidae. The record is from Ensembl.
AGUUAUAAAAGCAAUAAAAUCCUCCCUGACCUGUGCAGGCCUCUGCUACAGGGGUGAUGGCCGGUCCUGGUGUUUAGGUGAUU